CCUACGGGAGGCAGCAGUGGGGAAUUUUGGACAAUGGGCGCAAGCCUGAUCCAGCCAUGCCGCGUGCAGGAUGAAGGCCUUCGGGUUGUAAACUGCUUUUGUACGGAACGAAAAGACUCUGGUUAAUACCUGGGGUCCAUGACGGUACCGUAAGAAUAAGCACCGGCUAACUACGUGCCAGCAGCCGCGGUAAUACGUAGGGUGCGAGCGUUAAUCGGAAUUACUGGGCGUAAAGCGUGCGCAGGCGGUUAUAUAAGACAGAUGUGAAAUCCCCGGGCUCAACCUGGGAACUGCAUUUGUGACUGUAUAGCUAGAGUACGGCAGAGGGGGAUGGAAUUCCGCGUGUAGCAGUGAAAUGCGUAGAUAUGCGGAGGAACACCGAUGGCGAAGGCAAUCCCCUGGGCCUGUACUGACGCUCAUGCACGAAAGCGUGGGGAGCAAACAGGAUUAGAUACCCUGGUAGUCCACGCCCUAAACGAUGUCAACUGGUUGUUGGGUCUUCACUGACUCAGUAACGAAGCUAACGCGUGAAGUUGACCGCCUGGGGNGGUACGGCGCGAGUAGAACGACGAAGAGUAGUGCGNGAGAGAGCGACGACGACGACGAGGGAGGGAGGAG
Molecule: ribosomal RNA, 618 nt
Filed under: uncultured bacterium
Lineage: Bacteria
Description: bacterial SSU rRNA
Rfam family: Bacterial small subunit ribosomal RNA (bases 1-542)
Source: RNAcentral